Molecule: long non-coding RNA, 2416 nt
Filed under: Nicotiana benthamiana
Lineage: Eukaryota; Viridiplantae; Streptophyta; Magnoliopsida; Solanales; Solanaceae
Description: long non-coding RNA (NBEN_LNC037283)
Source: RNAcentral
AAUUCUCUCUCAGCUCACCCUAAUGAUAAUCGUUGUCACCAGCAGGAACCUCCCUUCCAUGGUACUUUCGUGCAUUCUCCGACCACCACCAGUCUCCUAUACCAUCUGGCUAUUUGAUUGCAGGAGUCCUUGAGAAGAUCUCAUAAAUAUCUAACUUGUUCUGGCUUGAAAGUUGUUUACUGGCCUGUCUCAGGCCACUUUUGUUUGUGAGUAUAAAUUUUCUCUUUUUUCUGAUACGAAUCCAUGGGUUUUCAGUCGAUUCCCUUUAUCUCUACUAUUUAUUGAAAAUCCUAGUUCCACUACUGUUUGAAUCUUCUCAAAUCUUUAUAGAUCUAAAGCGAUUCGAGUAUUAUUGGGUGUUUUCCUUUACAAAUUUCUUGGUUUAAUUCAUUUUUUCGACUUCGCUUACUCUUUCUGAAAUUAGGGUUCAUCCCAGUCUUUUCUUCAAAUAUUUUUCUAACUUCUCAAUGUUUUAAUUAAUUGUUUCUUCACUAUCUUGACUAUUUUUCGCAUGCAUGUUCAAACCCUAGAUGAUUCUUUUUGCUAUACUGAUUUCUCCAAUUUAGUUUAGAUAUUGUGUUUAUCUUCAUGAGCCAAUCGUAUUAACUUAUUCUAUUUAGAGACUUAAAUGAUUUCCCGUUAAAAUCAAUAUUUUCGAGAAUUUUUACUUGAUUGAUUUCUGUUAAGAAUCUGAACGAUCUUCUUUCUCGUUAAAAUCAUAAACCCUUUGGGAUUCUUAAUUGUUUGAUUUCUAUUUAAGGAUUCAAAUAAUACUUUUCUAUGAAAUCGCUACUCUUUGAAGAUUUUUACAGAUUUUUUCCUAUUAAUUGCCCUGUUAAAAUCAGUGUGCUCGGAUUUUACUGGCUUCCUUAUUUGUGACAUGCUUCCCUAUUUUUCUUACCCGCCUUAAUUAGUCGACAGUAGUUUGGGGGAUUUUUACUGACUCCCUCUAUGGUUUGAUUUUGAUUCAUUUCCUUAAUUGAAUAUCUUGUUAUGACCAUUAAUUGACUAUUCCCCAAUUAAAGGGGUGUUUCCCGAACUUCCUUAUAGAAAUUGAUUAUGUGAUUGGUUGAUUGAUCCUUAAUCGAUUGAAAUCUAAUUCUCUUUACCUUAUUUGUUCUACUCUCUAAGUGUUACGAAUACACUUUCAUUCUGCCUAUCAAACACAUGAACAAUAGUUCAAACAUAUGCGCACAGACACAAAUACACAAACCUUCUUUCAUACCUCUCUCUCUCUCUCUCUCUAUCUCUCUCUCUCUCUCUCUCUCUCUCUCUCUCUCUCUCUCUCUCUCUCUCCUACUUGUGUUCAUUUCUUGUUUAGCAGACUGAAAGCCAAGGGUAGACUGUUGAAUCCGGCCUACUUUACCUUAUGUAUCUGCUUCCUUAACUGGUAUAUUCCAACCUCAAUGUCAUUAUGAAGUCAAAAUCUAUGUGCUCCCUGUUGCUUCAUUUCUACUAAGGCUAUGUCUUUUAUGUACUAGUGUAAGUAUUGCCUAGUUAACCCUGUUUACUGCCUGAUCAGCAUGUCUAAGUUUCUCUCUUCUUGUUUAAUGUCAAAGUCAGCAUGUUUACUUUAGUUUAAGUACUUCCAUCUUUCAUGUUUACUUCCUCCAACCAACAGUCUUAUUUUGUGUCUCAGACUCUCAUGUUAUCUAGUUAAAUUCAAUUGGCAUAAAUAAUUCUGUGUAAUUGUCACGACCCCAGUUUGCCCUUAAUGAAUUAUCGUGAUGGUACCUAGUCUCUAAUACUAAGUAAGCCCAACAAUGCACAAAAUAAAUAAAACUUGCGGAAGAAAUAAUUAAAAACCAACUAACAGAAUAAAAUAGUAUUUAAAAUACAUCCCGACAUAUACAAUACAACUUCUUGGACUAACAACAAUUCAAAAACCCGGAAACCCAUAAAUUACAAGCUAAGAAAAUAGUGAGAUGUUCUAACUCCGAAAUGUCUACAUCAACAAUAAAGAUAGAAAGGCUAUCACUAUAAGAGAGAAUAGAGAGAGACUCCUGGGUCUGCGGACGUGGAAGAUAUACCUCAAAGACUCAGAAGGAUCGAGUCGCCUCAAUUGUGGUAAGUCUGAGUCAAGUUACCUAGAUCUGCACAGAAAGGGCAUGAGUAAAUCACAGCGACACGCAGUAAGUGCCAAGCCUAACCUAGGUCAGGUAGUAACGAGGAAGGUCAGGGCCCUACUGAGGUUAAAUAAGAUAAGGUAUAACAGGGAAGAAUAAGACAGUAUAACUAAGUGCAACAGUAAGAAGUAAUUAAAAUAGAAGAACAACAACAACUAGAACAGAGACAAGAUAAUAACGGAAAGGAAAUACAGCUCAAUGUCGAGAUAACAACUAGGGAUCUUUAAUGAUACCGUCAUGUAGUCCCAAUCACAACUAUCCAGUGGAUCUCCCUGGAUACCGUGCCGCAG